UUGUACUGCGAAGGCAAGAAAAGCGCAUGGAGAAAGGAGUCCCUGAACUCUCAGCGCCCUCUGCUGGAAGGCGACGAUGCUACACGCGUGCUCUCGGGAAGGCCGUGCUGCAGUCCUGCUCAAACCGCUUCUUCACAACAGAAACUGCAGCAGAUAACGUUUUCUGAGUGUUUGCUAUGCUCAAGGCACUGCACUAGGUUGAUUCAAAUCAAUCCUCACUGCUACCCUAUGAGGUCGGUUCAUUAUUAUUCCUAUUUUACCGAGGGAAAAACUGAGGCUCCAAGAUUCCUGCUCUUGCCUGAAGUCUCACAGCUAGGGCACCAGAGAAUAGCUACUGAGCUCUCAUACAGAAGCAAAAUCUUGAACUCAUUAUUACUCAAUGGUUAUCCUAAACUCAGAUGAGAUACAUGUUGCUCUUGGACAAAGGCUUAAAGGAUAUCUGGCUGUGAGCGGCGAGAGGGCCAGCGGCGGGUCUCCGUCAUCCCUGCGCCCCGAGCACCUAGCUCAGGCUUGGCACCGGGCAGGAGCGCAAGGACCAUCAGUGGAAGGAUGAGUGCGGGACCCAGGCGUCCUCCCAGCGGCUCCUGAGACUUUGCCCCACGGAGCUCCAGACAAAGGACCCCCGCCACACAGGGCUUCCAGGAGGAAGGGAAAGGGCAGCCCGCAUCACCGCCAGCCUCCAUCCACCCACUCAGAGUUACUCUGAAAUGUGAGUUACGACACACGGUGCCCUCAGGUCUCCAGCGGCGUCCCACGCCUUUGGCACGAAGCCAGAGCCCCUCCAGCGGCCCCAAGACCCUCCCACUAGUCUCCAGUUCACCAGGUCCCAAACCUGCCUCUUCGUGGUUUGUUGCCCAGGAGAUUUGUGGAGCUCCCUCUCUUCCCCAUCAGGGGCCCGCCUGACCCUCUGCUAUGGAAGGGAGCUCCACACCACCACCUCCCCCGAGACUGGCUUUAUGUUCCCUCCUGGACCAACCACCUGCCAAUACACCGAGUAUCUGCCGGUUUACGAUCGGCCGGGCAGGCACACUGGACGGUGAACCUGCCACCCCACCCCAGGCCCCGCACAGUCUGGCACACACUGGUGCUCAGUAAGUAUUGGCCGAAUCGAUGGAUGAAUGGAUUCCAUGGCCAGUGAGCUCAGGGUGCCAGGUCAUGCAAGUGACAUGAGUCAGGAGCCCAAAGUAUGUCACAAUUUGCAGCUACAAAGAAUGCAGAAAAAAGAGAACAAAGGUCCACUUCCCUCAGGCAAACAAGGCCAUUGAGGCUUCCCUCACCACAUUCUCGGCACCUGGCUCUGUUUAGGCUCUCAUUCGGCCAGUGUUUACUGAGCACCUACUAAGUGCCAGGCCCUGUUCCUGGCUCUGGCUCACUUUCCUCCCCUGGAUCUCUGCACAGCCUCCCCUCUGCCCCACUCCAUUCUGUCAGUCACCCCCACUGGGGGCAGUAAACAAGAGGAUGCUGGCAAGUGCCUGACACGUAGCGGGUAUUCAGGAGGCAUCGUUAGGAUCAUUAUGUAUCACACGAUUUCUCAUGCUUUAUCGUCACUUCAAGUGGGCUCGUCUGUCCCCCACCCCCCGACAUUAAGUUCCUAGCACAAUGCCUGGCACAAGUUAAGUACUGAACAUCUCUUGAAGGGAGGAAGGAAUAUUAUCAGCUAGGUCAGAGUACGUGGAAGACAGUUUCUGUAAGUAAAACUUCACAAUCUGAUAGGAAAGUGCUAAUUUGAUCAUACGCUUCUGAGGUGCCCCCAAACCAAAGUGGUUUGUUUUUAGUAAAAGAGGGUCGUUUGCUUUUGGAUCCUCCUAGAGAAUAAACACAUGCUGCUAUGGUACAGCCAAUCCUGGACUCUGGGUGGAAUGAACAUGAACGUGAGUGGCCGGGACAGCCCCGUGUGGCCAGCACAGGGUCGCUCCAGGGGAGCUGUGUGUCCUCAGCACCCACCACUCCAGGGUUUGGUCAGAAACUUCCUCUGCUGCUAACCCCAGGAGAAUGACGCUUAUGUUCUCAGGAACAGAAAAGCAAUAACUGUGAGAUGCGUAUAGAAACCAUCAUCGAAGGCACAUGAAGUGCUUGGACUGUACCCACUGAAAGCCUUGGAGACACAAGUCCCAAAGGGUCUGACGCAGUUGGUGGUGCUUGCAGGGGAGACCCCGGGAAGCUGUGACAGCCCAGGCACUGAGGUUUCAUCCCUGCACGUGACCUGAUGUCCCCCAGCCAGGCCCAGCCUCUAGCAGGGGGCUUGGAUUAGAGCAGCUGUUUUAGUAGGGCCAAAUCUAAGUGGGACCAUUCUAGACUUACUAAAAACAUGACAACUCCAUUUUUCCCUUCCAUAUUCUCUUGAUUUUCAUUGUACUCACUGUCUGGACCCCAGUGGCCUUUCACUGGUUGCCCAGGAAGAGCUGUGAUCUGGGCACAGGGACCAUGGGAGAAAGAGCUCGGUCCCACGACUGAAGACACUGGGACAAAGGCUCAGGAAGAUCAUAAGUGUGAAGCCUGUUACAGUUCUGUGGGGAUGCCACGGCCUGCUCUUGGCUCCCAGCUCGGCCGGGAAGGGCUGAGUCAGAGGCUCUGUGGCCGGGAAGAUGCCGGCAGACAGCCAGGCUCUCUCUUCCGACCGGGGGCUCCGGCAGCCCGUCUGGCUCCAGAAUAUCAGAGCUUUACUGCCACGUCCUGGAAAUGCAAUCCCAUCCUGACUGGCAUGCCGGCUGCUUGGGAGACCUUGAAUUUUCCAUGGCACCUGCUUAUGAGUUGUCCGGAGACAAUGCCAAUCUAUAUGACCUGAGAAGAAGUUGGCAAGGCUGCAGGAGAGGAACUUAUGGGACAGAUAAGGGGCAGCUGGGGAUUAUUAGGAUUCAAAAAAGAGAAAAAGAAAGAAAGAUGUGACCUAAAUACUUUUGGGUAUGAGGUGGCGUUAAGAAAAGAGAAAGAAAAGAAAAAGAAAAACUGAAAUUGAUGUACACUUGUAAACCUCCAACCAGCACACUUAGAGCCAAACAAGCCACAGAUGUCAGAACUAUGCCUUCUUUCUAGAAAGCCCAUCAGAACACUCAACACAACCCACUUUCUCUUCUCAAAGAAGUAGGGAGGGCCUCCAUCAUAGCUGGUGGACAAGAAUGGGUUAUUAUGAGAACAGAACUGACAUUUACUGACUACUCACUAUGUGCCAGGCGUUGUUCUAGAACUUCACACCUGUUACCUCCUCCACAAUGAAACACAAUAAGAACCAUUAUCCCAUUUUAUAGUGGAGGAGACUGAGGUUAAUCCUGUAAUGAGAUCACACCACGAGCCUUGCUCUUAACUGCCAGAGUGACCGUGGUCCCCAAACAGAUAACCAAAUGCCAAGCUGGGGCCUCUCUAACCAGAGAGCCCUUGAGGGUCCUGCUCUGGGUGAGAACGUACCUGGCAGAAGCUUCUCCAGCUCCUUCUCAGGGUUUGCG
Molecule: long non-coding RNA, 3440 nt
Organism: Balaenoptera acutorostrata (minke whale)
Lineage: Eukaryota; Metazoa; Chordata; Mammalia; Artiodactyla; Balaenopteridae
Exons: 3
Source: RefSeq, a predicted model, not a curated record